AGCUCCAAUAGCGUAUAUUAAAGUUGUUGCAGUUAAAAAGCUCGUAGUUGAAUUUCUAGGCAGUAGCUACUCGGAUUUCAAUUCAGUAUCUGCUGUCUAUCCGACACUGAACUAUAACGGGUAUUAAGUUAUCCCUAUAGCGAAUUGUCAUUUUACUUUGAAAAAAUUAGAGUGUUUCAGGCAGGCAAUUGCCCGGAUAUCUUAGCAUGGAAUAAUGGAAUAGGACUUUGGUUCAUUUGAUUGGUUAUUGAAUCAAAGUAAUGAUUAAUAGGGACAGUUGGGGGCAUUAGUAUUUAAUUGUCAGAGGUGAAAUUCUUGGAUUUAUUAAAGACUAACUUAUGCGAAAGCAUUUGCCAAGGAUGUUUUCA
Molecule: ribosomal RNA, 368 nt
Filed under: uncultured eukaryote
Lineage: Eukaryota
Description: SSU rRNA
Rfam family: Eukaryotic small subunit ribosomal RNA
Source: RNAcentral